CCCUGCCAUUUGUACACACCGCCCGUCGCUACUACCGAUUGAAUGGUUUAGCAAGGUCUUCGGAUUGGCGCCUGACAGUUUCGACUGUCUUGGUGUCCGAGAAGAUGAUCAAACUUGAUCAUUUAGAGGAAGUA
RNAcentral lists this ribosomal RNA (134 nucleotides) under uncultured eukaryote. RNAcentral's name for it is "partial small subunit ribosomal RNA". It matches the Rfam family "Eukaryotic small subunit ribosomal RNA", at positions 1651 to 1784 of the family's 1831-position model. The record is from RNAcentral.